UCUCUUUCUUUGAUCUUUGCCAUUGGUUCAUUCCGCAUUUGGGUUUUGUUCCUUGAUUCAAUUAUUUCUUGUGGGUUGGCGGUGGUUUAAUCUCGGUUGCUCUUGCGAAUUUAAUUUUUUGGGUAUUGAAGGGUAAGUGUUUCUAUGGAAUUUGCUUUUUUUAAGGGUGGUGUUUAUUGGUUGAUUAUUUCUUUAAGGCUUGGGUUAAUCUCGUGAAAUCUAUGUUGUUAGGUGAUAGUCAAGGAAUUCGGAACUCUCAUUCUGUGAGUUAGUUAUCUUAAAGGCUGCUGUGGACAUUGGGUAAGUUUCGAACCCCUAAGAGUUCAAUUCUUAUGUUAGAACUGUUUAUGUUGCAUUGUAGUUGAUUGGGUUGUUUUGGUAAAUUGAGGAAUUGGAACUGAUUUUUAGGUGUUGGAUAUCGCAUGGUUGUUUUCACAUCAGAAUCGAAUCAGGUAUGUAACGAGAAAUUCAAAAAUCAGCGAACUAUGAAAGCUAAAAAAUAACACUGUCGACGCCACACGGUCGUAUGUCAGGCCGUGUGCAAUAAACUGUUGCCUGAUGGGCCUUAUACUAGACCGUGUGUGACACUGGUAUAGGCUAUUUGGGCUGUAUGGGUCUAAAAUUCAGAUUUUUUUCCUAGGGUCGUACACGUUGUCCCAAUUGACCAUGGGCCUUCCGUAGGGUCAAUAUGUGAUUAAAUAUACUAUAAAACAUGAAAUUUUGUCGUCUGUUAGUAUAAUUUUUACUACCUGCAAGUGUAUUUGGGAUGUCAUACAAUAAAUAAAAUUAAGAAUAAUG
RNAcentral lists this long non-coding RNA (798 nucleotides) under Gossypium barbadense (sea-island cotton). RNAcentral describes it as "long non-coding RNA (GBAR_LNC018610)". Lineage: Eukaryota; Viridiplantae; Streptophyta; Magnoliopsida; Malvales; Malvaceae. The record is from RNAcentral.